GACGAACGCUGGCGGCGUGCCUAAUACAUGCAAGUCGAACGAGAGCGACCGGUGCUUGCACUGGUCAAUCUAGUGGCGAACGGGUGAGUAACACGUGGGUAACCUGCCCAUCAGAGGGGGAUAACAUCCGGAAACGGAUGCUAAAACCGCAUAGGUCUUCGAGCCGCAUGGCUUGAAGAGGAAAAGAGGCGCACGCUUCUGCUGAUGGAUGGACCCGCGGUGCAUUAGCUAGUUGGUGAGGUAAAGGCUCACCAAGGCCGUGAUGCAUAGCCGACCUGAGAGGGUGAUCGGCCACAUUGGGACUGAGACACGGCCCAAACUCCUACGGGAGGCAGCAGUAGGGAAUCUUCCGCAAUGGACGCAAGUCUGACGGAGCAACGCCGCGUGAGUGAAGAAGGUUUUCGGAUCGUAAAACUCUGUUGUUAGAGAAGAACAAGUGCUAGAGUAACUGUUAGCGCCUUGACGGUAUCUAACCAGAAAGCCACGGCUAACUACGUG
This 498-nucleotide ribosomal RNA is filed under the name uncultured bacterium. RNAcentral's name for it is "partial 16S ribosomal RNA". It matches the Rfam family "Bacterial small subunit ribosomal RNA", at positions 28 to 507 of the family's 1533-position model. The record is from RNAcentral.